GGCUCGGUAGCUUAGUUGGUACGGCGCUCGCCUAGCACGCAAGAGUCCUGGGUACGAAUUCCAGCCGAGCCC
This is a non-coding RNA of Aedes aegypti (yellow fever mosquito), 72 nucleotides long. Lineage: Eukaryota; Metazoa; Arthropoda; Insecta; Diptera; Culicidae. The record is from Rfam.